Molecule: ribosomal RNA, 584 nt
Filed under: uncultured Alphaproteobacteria bacterium
Lineage: Bacteria; Pseudomonadati; Pseudomonadota; Alphaproteobacteria
Description: bacterial SSU rRNA
Rfam family: Bacterial small subunit ribosomal RNA
Source: RNAcentral
GAGUUUGAUCCUGGCUCAAAACGAACGCUGGCGGCAGGCCUAACACAUGCAAGUCGAGCGCGCCCUUCGGGGUGAGCGGCGGACGGUUUAGUAACGCGUGGGAAUAUACCCUUUGGUACGGAAUAGCCUCUGGAAACGGAGAGUAAUACCGUAUGUGCCCUUCGGGGGAAAGAUUUAUCGCCAAAGGAUUAGCCCGCGUUAAAUUAGGUAGUUGGUGGGGUAAUGGCCUACCAAGCCUACGAUCUAUAGCUGGUUUUAGAGGAUGAUCAGCAACACUGGGACUGAAACACGGCCCAGACUCCUACGGGAGGCAGCAGUGGGGAAUCUUGGACAAUGGGGGCAACCCUGAUCCACCCAUGCCGGGUGAGUGAUGAAGGCCCUAGGGUCGUAAAGCUCUUUCGCCAGAGAUGAUAAUGACAGUAUCUGGUAAAGAAACCCCGGCUAACUCUGUGCCAGCAGCCGCGGUAAUACAAAGGUGGCUAGCGUUGUUCGGAUUUACUGGGCGUAAAGGGUGCGUACGCGGCUUUGUAUGUCGGACGUGAAAGCCCACGGCUCAACCGUGGAAUUGCAUCCGAAACUGCAGG